Molecule: regulatory RNA element, 93 nt
Rfam family: TPP riboswitch aptamer (THI element)
About the family: Vitamin B(1) in its active form thiamin pyrophosphate (TPP) is an essential coenzyme that is synthesised by coupling of pyrimidine and thiazole moieties in bacteria. The previously detected thiamin-regulatory element, thi box was extended, resulting in a new, highly conserved RNA secondary structure, the THI element, which is widely distributed in eubacteria and also occurs in some archaea. Analysis of operon structures identified a large number of new candidate thiamin-regulated genes, mostly transporters, in various prokaryotic organisms.
Source: Rfam
AAAGUUCGUCUGGGGUGCCGGUAACGGCUGAGAUGAUACCCAUCGAACCUGAUGUAGUUGAUACUACCGAAGGAAGAGCGACUUAAAAUUGAC